Molecule: ribosomal RNA, 497 nt
Filed under: uncultured bacterium
Lineage: Bacteria
Description: partial 16S ribosomal RNA
Rfam family: Bacterial small subunit ribosomal RNA
Source: RNAcentral
GAUGAACGCUGGCGGCGUGCCUAAUACAUGCAAGUCGAGCGAACAGACGAGGAGCUUGCUCCUCUGACGUUAGCGGCGGACGGGUGAGUAACACGUGGAUAACCUACCUAUAAGACUGGGAUAACUUCGGGAAACCGGAGCUAAUACCGGAUAAUAUAUUGAACCGCAUGGUUCAAUAGUGAAAGACGGUUUUGCUGUCACUUAUAGAUGGAUCCGCGCCGCAUUAGCUAGUUGGUAAGGUAACGGCUUACCAAGGCAACGAUGCGUAGCCGACCUGAGAGGGUGAUCGGCCACACUGGAACUGAGACACGGUCCAGACUCCUACGGGAGGCAGCAGUAGGGAAUCUUCCGCAAUGGGCGAAAGCUUGACGGAGCAACACCGCGUGAGUGAUGAAGGUCUUCGGAUCGUAAAACUCUGUUAUUAGGGAAGAACAAAUGUGUAAGUAACUAUGCACGUCUUGACGGUACCUAAUCAGAAAGCCACGGCUAACUACGUG